UGGGGAAUUUUGGACAAUGGGCGAAAGCCUGAUCCAGCAAUGCCGCGUGUGUGAAGAAGGCCUUCGGGUUGUAAAGCACUUUUGUCCGGAAAGAAAUCCUUGGCUCUAAUACAGUCGGGGGAUGACGGUACCGGAAGAAUAAGCACCGGCUAACUACGUGCCAGCAGCCGCGGUAAUACGUAGGGUGCAAGCGUUAAUCGGAAUUACUGGGCGUAAAGCGUGCGCAGGCGGUUUGCUAAGACCGAUGUGAAAUCCCCGGGCUCAACCUGGGAACUGCAUUGGUGACUGGCAGGCUAGAGUAUGGCAGAGGGGGGUAGAAUUCCGCGUGUAGCAGUGAAAUGCGUAGAGAUGUGGAGGAAUACCGAUGGCGAAGGCAGCCCCCUGGGCCAAUACUGACGCUCAUGCACGAAAGCGUGGGGAGCAAACAGGAUUAGAUACCCUGGUAGUCCACGCCCUAAACGAUGUCAACUAGUUGUUGGGGAUUCAUUUCCUUAGUAACGUAGCUAACGCGUGAAGUUGACCGCCUGGGGAGUACGGUCGCAAGAUUAAAACUCAAAUGAAUUGACGGGGUCAUAGCUGUUUCCU
Molecule: ribosomal RNA, 585 nt
Filed under: uncultured bacterium
Lineage: Bacteria
Description: partial 16S ribosomal RNA
Rfam family: Bacterial small subunit ribosomal RNA
Source: RNAcentral